Molecule: long non-coding RNA, 931 nt
Organism: Triticum aestivum (bread wheat)
Lineage: Eukaryota; Viridiplantae; Streptophyta; Magnoliopsida; Poales; Poaceae
Exons: 4
Source: RefSeq, a predicted model, not a curated record
UCACUCCCCGUCGUCUCUUUCCUACAGAGCUCGCCAUCCACCCCAAUCUCGCCAUCCACACCCCCCUCCCCCGUGCCUCCCCACCUCACUCCCAGAUCCGUGACGGCGCUGCUCCCUGAUCCAUCGUCCUCUGCUCCGAUGCGUCCCCGGGGCGACAUUACAAGUGCUCCAUCACGGCCGUAGAGGGUGGUCUGCCCCAUCUCCAUCUCGAUUGGGGCCAGUGCUUCCAUCCAUCUUCCCCUCCCCCGACGAUAGACUAGGAUUUCGCUACUGGUUUCCCCCUCUUCGAAGUCCCUCUCCUCGCAAUCGAAGUGCGUCAAGAUUCUGCUUCGAAGUAACAGUAGUACAGUACAAAUGUACCGCUAUUGGAGAACCACCCAUCGGCCGGCCGAAGAAUAAGCAGUUGCCUCGCAUUCAUUUUCCCUCUUCUAUGCCCCUCGUAAAAAACCGAAGGGCUAACAAGAGGUCAUCAAUGGUGGGCAUGGCGAAUGAUGUGAAGAUCCAGCAUCUCAAUGCCCAAUGUUUUGUCAUUGUUUUGGAAGAAAAAUAGCAAGACACACACUCGGUUAUCGAAGGGCGUUGACGGUUGACGUGUUGUUUGACGUGUUGUUCCUCGACGGUGCCAGCCUCGCUGCUCCACACUGGACGUUGUGGCUUGCGAUGUCUGACAAAGGCAGAUUUGUGGGACAAAAGGAAGUCAUCGAGUCUAGGUCGCACACAGUGCGUAGAGCAUAGCAGGGAGGGACUAUGACAUGACUGUAGUGGCGGUGCGACAUAGUAUUGCCGCUAGCAUAUAAAUUUGUUCUACAAACUGGCUAGUGGAUGGAAGCAAAUUUGUAGCCUGUAUGACACAUGUUACGAGCAUAAGGAAGCAUUGUAAUGUUUGACAUUUGUCGGAAGCAUGUUAUAUAUGAACGAACAAGCAAAAUUC